ACUGAUAAACCAAAAAAUCAAAGACAAGACGAAAAACUGAGAAACCAAAAAAUCGAGAGAGAACUCUUUGAAUCUGAAUUCCUAACAGCAACAACAAAAAAUGUGAAAGCGUUGAUCAAAUCGUUUUCCGCUUUGGUUUGUUGUAAAAGCGUUGAUCAAAUCGUUUUCGUAAUCACUUUGGUCGAAGCUCGAUUGCCAUGGCCGUCGAUAUCCUAACCUUAGAAAACAGGUAUAUUGAUUCUUGCAGGAGACAUGGUGUUUUGCCUAACGCUGCUAUUUUGUCAAGCUUUUUCAAGGCGGAGGUAAAAAAAUCCCACCAAGAGCCAUGCAUCCUGGACAUUUUAAUUGACGACCUUAAGGAUAUUGAUUUUGCUCCACUCCUUGAGAUAUGCACGAAUCUUGAUACUUCUGAAAUAGAAGCUGUUGAUAUACGUAAUGAAUCAGCAUGUGUAUUAAGUGAAGAAUAUGCAUUACCAUUGAUGCGUGCUAUUAAACAAAAGCUUCGAGUAGUCGAACUACAGGAUGCGUCAUUUACAAAAGACUUCAUACGGGAUAUCUCAGAAAGAGGUUUGGCAUGCCAAGUUUUGACAUCGAGGUCUUGGCGUUUCCGGAAGUUGGGCUUGGUGGGGGAGUUCAGGCAUAUGCACACACUUAAUCUUGAUUUCAGUUCCUCCCUUACCAGUUUUGAAGAAGACUGCUUUAAUUGCAUGCCCAAUCUAAUGUCUCUCUCAAUGUGUGAAACAAUGGUUGCAAAUCUUUGGUCAACUGUUGCAGCUCUCUCUAAGCUUCCAUCUUUGGUUGAACUAAGGUUUCAAUAUUGGCAGUAUUGUAAUGAUACGGGAACAUCUUUUACCUCAUCCAGUGGGAAGUCAGAUGGCACUGCUGAUUUUAGUUUACUUGAUAGAGUUCCUUUUAUUGGUGAAUCCUGCUAUGAUACAAGGGAACUAACAGAUCUUGACAUUAGUGUCGAGGAUCCACUUAGAAAUUUUUAUUCCUUUGAUGAAGAAGUUAUGAGUCAUGAUGUUCAAAGCAUGGUUGAGGACUCAACAGAAAGCAUGGUUGAGGACUCAUCAGAUGAUAGUGAAAUUGAUUUGACAAAUCAUCAUCAUAGAAACUGGUUGUUAGAUGUUUUUCCUAGGUGGAGUUUACAAAUGCCUCUUCAGAGCGAGAAUGAAGAGUCAUCAAGAGGAUCCUUUACAGGGAAUGGUAUUGAUGUUUCCAUGAAGUAUAUGUCUUGUCAUGCAUCACCAAUAUGUAAGGAAAAACAUUACAGAGAAUUCAUGAUAGCUUCAUUACCUAAUCUGAAAAGUUUAGAUAAUCUGCCUAUCAGAAAUAUUGAUAAGGAAAGGGCUACUGGAAUAUUUUAUCAAUACUUUGAAUAUCUUCCAUACAGAUGGAAGAGCAAAGAGAGUGUUUUAAGUAUCUUACACAAGCGAGAAAUAAAAUCAGGCCGCAUUAAGGUGCAAUCUUCAAACCGUAGCCCUUCACAUCCUCAUGGAACGUCUCAACAUUUUUAUACUAGGUCUCUUUCUGCUGCUAAACUGGGGUCUUCGACUUGGCCUUUCUUACAUCCCCUUUCCCUAUCAGGAUUUGAAUCGGAUAAGGGCUUUCGUCCAAGGCAGUUCGAGUAUCACCCAUCUGACUCCAGUUUGAUGGUCUUUGGAACUCUAGAUGGUGAAGUAGUUGUCAUCAAUCAUGAGAGUGAACGCAUUGUGAGUUAUAUCCCAUCACUUGGCGCAAUGAAUAGUGUCUUGGGUCUUUGUUGGCUCAAGAAAUAUCCUUCCAAGCUUAUAGCAGGUUCAGAUAACGGUACCCUGAAAUUGUAUGACAUCAACCAUAUACCAAGACAAAUUACUGGCUUAUAUGGGAACUCUGCUUGUGUUACCUUUGAUGAAUUUGACAGCCUGACAUCUGUUCAUGUUAACUCUACGGAUGAACUAUUUCUUGCAAGUGGUUAUUCAAGAAAUGUUGCUUUGUAUGACAUCAACAGUGGAAAACGCUUACAAGUGUUCACAGAUAUGCAUCAUGGGCAUAUUAAUGUAGUCAAGUUUGCAAAUCAUUCCCCGUCAAUUUUUGCUACUUCAUCAUUUGAUCAGGAUGUCAAGAUGUGGGACUUGAGACAGAAACCAGUAAACCCUUGCUUCACUGCUUCGAGCUCUAGAGGAAAUGUGAUGGUUUGUUUUUCUCCAGAUGACCAAUAUAUCCUAGCAUCGGCAGUUGAUAAUGAGGUUAGACAAUUUAUGGCUGUUGAUGGUAGGCUUCACUUAGUUUUUGAUAUAGCUCCAACUAAAAGUUGUCAAAAUUAUACUCGUUCUUAUUACAUGAACGGGAGGGACUACAUUAUAAGUGGAAGUUGUGAUGAACACAUUGUCCGUAUUUGUUGUGCUCAAACAGGGAGGCGCCUUAGAGAUAUUUCUCUUGAGGGUAAAAGUUUAGGAAGUUCCAUGUUUGUUCAAUCUUUGAGAGGCGAUCCUUUUAGGGAUUUCAAUAUGAGUGUGUUAGCAGCCUACGUGCGGCCUGGCUCCAAGUCUGAAAUUGUCAAGGUGGUCAAGGCUGAUUCCCGUGUACAGAAAAAAUUCAGCUGGAGGGGAGAACCCACCUUGUGUGUCCCACAGGUUCCUUGACGGAGAUUAGUCUUCGUUAACGGCUGUGGAAACUUCGUACUUGUAUUAUGAUCAAUUUACUAGCAUCUAGUGACCAUGCCAAGGGCGACUCUGAUGCUCAUCCUGUAUGCCCAUCCCACAUCAUGGGAGCUUGAUGUACGAUUUUAUAUGUAUUAUAUGUAGAGGUGAUUUUGAAUUGGUUUUUACUUGAAUAGUAAUAAUUAUAGUCUUGGUUAAUUAGUGUGUUGGGAUGAGCUUUGCCUACAUGUAAUGUAAAUCAAAAGUUAUAGUGAUCAGAAUUCAGAAAUCAGAGUUUGUAUAUGAAGAAACUGAACAUUUGCUCGUGUUAGUUUUUUAAAUUCCUUUUCAGCUAAGGUCCUGUUAUGGGAUAACCAUUUAGCUUUAGCAUGAUAAAACAGAGCUUGUCCUUGUAUUACUCUGUAAACUGAAGUUAAAUGUAUCAGUUGCGGCUAAUUAGUCCGUUUUCUCAAUGAAACUCUUUUAUAGUUGUUUA
Molecule: RNA transcript, 3117 nt
Organism: Trifolium pratense (red clover)
Lineage: Eukaryota; Viridiplantae; Streptophyta; Magnoliopsida; Fabales; Fabaceae
Exons: 11
Source: RefSeq, a predicted model, not a curated record